Molecule: ribosomal RNA, 497 nt
Filed under: uncultured bacterium
Lineage: Bacteria
Description: partial 16S ribosomal RNA
Rfam family: Bacterial small subunit ribosomal RNA
Source: RNAcentral
GAUGAACGCUGGCGGCGUGCCUAAUACAUGCAAGUCGAGCGAACGGACGAGAAGCUUGCUUCUCUGAUGUUAGCGGCGGACGGGUGAGUAACACGUGGAUAACCUACCUAUAAGACUGGGAUAACUUCGGGAAACCGGAGCUAAUACCGGAUAAUAUUUUGAACCGCAUGGUUCAAAAGUGAAAGACGGUCUUGCUGUCACUUAUAGAUGGAUCCGCGCUUCAUUAGCUAGUUGGUAAGGUAACGGCUUACCAAGGCAACGAUGCAUAGCCGACCUGAGAGGGUGAUCGGCCACACUGGAACUGAGACACGGUCCAGACUCCUACGGGAGGCAGCAGUAGGGAAUCUUCCGCAAUGGGCGAAAGCCUGACGGAGCAACGCCGCGUGAGUGAUGAAGGUCUUCGGAUCGUAAAACUCUGUUAUUAGGGAAGAACAUAUGUGUAAGUAACUGUGCACAUCUUGACGGUACCUAAUCAGAAAGCCACGGCUAACUACGUG